GACGAACGCUGGCGGCGUGCUUAACACAUGCAAGUCGAACGGUAAGGCCCUGCUUUUGUGGUGUGCUCGAGUUGCGAACGGGUGAGUAACACGUGAGUAACCUGCCCUUUACUUGGGGAUAACUUCAGGAAACUGUGGCUAAUACCGGAUAGUAGCUCCUGCUGCAUGGUGGGUGUUUGAAAGUUUCGGCGGUUGGGGAUGGACUUGCGGCUUAUCAGCUUGUGGGUGUGGUAGUGGCUUACCAAGGCUUUGACGGGUAGCCGGACUGAGAGGGUGACCGGCCACAUUGGGACUGGGGAAGGGGCCAGACUGCUACGGCAGGCAGGGGUGGGGAAUAUAGCAAGAUGGGCGGAAGGAUGAUGCAGCAACGCCGCGUGCGGGAGGACGGUCUUAGGGUUGUAACGCGUGUUAGACUGUAAAGAAGAGUGAGUGACGGUAAUGUGUAAAGAAGCACCGGCUAACUACGUG
This 468-nucleotide ribosomal RNA is filed under the name uncultured bacterium. RNAcentral's name for it is "partial 16S ribosomal RNA". It matches the Rfam family "Bacterial small subunit ribosomal RNA", at positions 28 to 507 of the family's 1533-position model. The record is from RNAcentral.